Molecule: long non-coding RNA, 1702 nt
Organism: Manis javanica (Malayan pangolin)
Lineage: Eukaryota; Metazoa; Chordata; Mammalia; Pholidota; Manidae
Source: RefSeq, a predicted model, not a curated record
CGGAGGUUGGGGACGGGCCGUGGGGCGGCGUAGAAGCGCCUUCCCCGGGCGUCCUGCGCCCCCUUCUGGGCGGUCCCCUCGCUCCUCCCCGCAGAGACUCCGCACUCACCCCCCCUCCAAGUCUGGGUCAGGGCCAGGGCCCCCGACAGCAGCAGGAGGAGAGCUCGGGGUGUCAUGGCCCAGACCCUCGUCUUGUGGGGAGAAGCUUAGUCCCACCGGGUCCGUGGAGACUUCCUAAUCCAACGGCGGUGACGCUGAUUGGCUUGUCUGGAAACCGGACACGCAAUGGGAGUGCGAAGGGGCCUCGCGUCACUAGCAUCCAGGCGGGAGGACCUGACACAGGUGGUGGGUAUGAUCUGCACUCCACACAAGUGAACUCUUGGAAUGUUCCAGAAUGUUCUGUGACAGGAGACCACUAGGCUCAGAGCUCAGGAGGACUUCAAUGGCAAUGUGACUUUCCUACUCAAACCACAGUAAAUCCAUCUUGCAGCAUAUAUUUCAAGGCCUCCAGUGGAUCCAGAUCAGCCAGACUCUGGAGGUAAAGCAAUGAGCAAGAGUAAGACCCUGGCCAUGUGACACCAGCACUGUCCCGAGGGAGACAGGCACUGAGCAGAAAUGCCGAAGAUGAACGUGAAUCACCACUGAGCUGAGUGCUGUGAGGACCGAGUUCAUGAGCAUGAAAGCAGACAGCAGGAAACCCAACAGGCCCUGACCACUGUAUCAACAACAUCUACAGGAUGUAAAGAUAUAUGGCAUAGGAAACAAAAGAAUCAUAUAAAACUAUAUACAAUCAUAGAACAAGCAGGAGCUCUUGGAAAUUAAAAAUUAUUCACAGAAAUGAAUAAUUCAGUGGAUGACUUGGAAGAUUAAAGCUGCAGUUCCCCUAAGUAGUACAAAUGGGAAAGUGAUGGCAAGCAGGAGAGAAGACCUAUAGCCCUAUCAGUCAUGGGAUUCCAAUGAGUUCAUGAUGUAACUUCAAAAAAAUGUAGAGUAGUAAAUGAUAAAGAACAAUUUCAAGAAUACUUCUCAGAGUUUACAGGUACAAAUUCAUAUUUUGAAAGGCCUAACCAACUUCUCACUACAGUAGAUGAAAUCUGACUCACACCAACAAAUCACAGUGGAAUUUCAGAAAGCAGGUGGAGAAGAAGAGACCUGGAAAACUUCAAAAGGCAACAAACACAGGCCUGGAGGCUGGGAGACACUGAAGCAAUGCCUCCAAAUCCUGAGGAAAAGUAUUUCCAACACAGAUUCUAUAUGAAGUCACUGUGAAUAAGGAGGAAUGUGGCCUAAAGACACUUCAGAUGUUUAGAGGUUCAGUCAUUUACUUUCCAUACUCCUUUCUCAGGAUACUACUAGGCAAAGUGGGGUAAAAUGAUAGGGAAAACCAAUAAAGAGGAACACAUGGGAUCCAGGCAACAGGGGAGCCAGCUCGACAAAGGCACCCGCCACCCAGGACAAGGUGCAGGAGAUGGGAUGUGAGCCCCGUGCAGGUGCGCAGCAUCCAGUCCACGACGGUGCUGAGCACUGAGGCCCAGGGGUGUGCCAAGACAUGAAGGCCAUAGAAUCCCUGAUGCACUCAAAUAUAUUCACCCAGAUUUACCCUGGGGAGUUUGGGAAUGAUUUAAAACAAAUAUAACAGAAACUAAGCAACUGAAGGAACAAGAUAUUUAUAUACUCCAGGAAAAAUAAAAAGUUGUUUCAA